Molecule: ribosomal RNA, 405 nt
Filed under: Bacillus sp. T15
Lineage: Bacteria; Bacillati; Bacillota; Bacilli; Caryophanales; Bacillaceae
Description: bacterial SSU rRNA
Rfam family: Bacterial small subunit ribosomal RNA
Source: RNAcentral
UGGGUCUCUGCGCCUAGAGAAGGGCUUUCCCCUUCGGGGGACAGAGUGACAGGUGGUGCAUGGUUGUCGUCAGCUCGUGUCGUGAGAUGUUGGGUUAAGUCCCGCAACGAGCGCAACCCUUGAUCUUAGUUGCCAGCAUUCAGUUGGGCACUCUAAGGUGACUGCCGGUGACAAACCGGAGGAAGGUGGGGAUGACGUCAAAUCAUCAUGCCCCUUAUGACCUGGGCUACACACGUGCUACAAUGGAUGGUACAAAGGGCUGCAAACCUGCGAAGGUAAGCGAAUCCCAUAAAGCCAUUCUCAGUUCGGAUUGCAGGCUGCAACUCGCCUGCAUGAAGCCGGAAUCGCUAGUAAUCGCGGAUCAGCAUGCCGCGGUGAAUACGUUCCCGGGUCUAUAACACACCG